UACGGAGGGUGCGAGCGUUGUCCGGAUUUAUUGGGUUUAAAGGGUGCGUAGGCGGCCGUUUAAGUCUGGGGUGAAAGCCCGCUGCUCAACAGCGGAACUGCCCUGGAUACUGGAUGGCUUGAGUACAGACGAGGUUGGCGGAAUGGACGGAGUAGCGGUGAAAUGCAUAGAUACCGUCCAGAACCCCGAUUGCGAAGGCAGCUGACUAGGCUGUUACUGACGCUGAGGCACGAAAGCGUGGGGAGCGAACAGG
RNAcentral lists this ribosomal RNA (253 nucleotides) under uncultured bacterium. RNAcentral describes it as "partial 16S ribosomal RNA". It matches the Rfam family "Bacterial small subunit ribosomal RNA", at positions 524 to 776 of the family's 1533-position model. The record is from RNAcentral.